Molecule: ribosomal RNA, 671 nt
Filed under: uncultured Enterobacteriaceae bacterium
Lineage: Bacteria; Pseudomonadati; Pseudomonadota; Gammaproteobacteria; Enterobacterales; Enterobacteriaceae
Description: bacterial SSU rRNA
Rfam family: Bacterial small subunit ribosomal RNA
Source: RNAcentral
CUAGAGUGAUGGGCUCCGAAGCUAACGCGAUAAAUCGACCGCCUGGGGAGUACGGCCGCAAGGUUAAAACUCAAAUGAAUUGACGGGGGCCCGCACAAGCGGUGGAGCAUGUGGUUUAAUUCGAUGCAACACGAAGAACCUUACCUGGUCUUGACAUCCAUAGAAUUCUGCAGAGAUGUGGGAGUGCCUUCGGGAACUAUGAGACAGGUGCUGCAUGGCUGUCGUCAGCUCGUGUUGUGAAAUGUUGGGUUAAGUCCCGCAACGAGCGCAACCCUUAUUCUUUGUUGCCAGCGAUUUGGUCGGGAACUCAAAGGAGACUGCCGUUGAUAAAGCGGAGGAAGGUGGGGACGACGUCAAGUCAUCAUGGCCCUUACGACCAGGGCUACACACGUGCUACAAUGGCGUAUACAAAGGGAAGCGAAGGUGCGAGCUGGAGCGGAUCUCAUAAAGUACGUCUAAGUUCGGAUUGGAGUCUGCAACUCGACUCCAUGAAGUCGGAAUCGCUAGUAAUCGUAGAUCAGAAUGCUACGGUGAAUACGUUCCCGGGCCUUGUACACACCGCCCGUCACACCAUGGGAGUGGGUUGCACCAGAAGUAGAUAGCUUAACCGCGAGGGGGGCGUUUACCACGGUGUGAUUCAUGACUGGGGUGAAGUCGUAACAAGGUAACCA